Molecule: non-coding RNA, 25 nt
Filed under: Rattus norvegicus (Norway rat)
Lineage: Eukaryota; Metazoa; Chordata; Mammalia; Rodentia; Muridae
Source: RNAcentral
UAUGAAUCCCUCUCUCUGAGGAGCC